Molecule: small RNA, 131 nt
Filed under: Salmonella enterica
Lineage: Bacteria; Pseudomonadati; Pseudomonadota; Gammaproteobacteria; Enterobacterales; Enterobacteriaceae
Also listed under: 11 other names
Description: RtT sRNA
Rfam family: RtT RNA
About the family: This family represents a bacterial cis-regulatory element known as RtT RNA. The exact function of RtT is unknown although it is thought that it may be involved in changing the cellular response in relation to amino acid starvation.
Source: RNAcentral
AUAUCUCUCCGUACGGGAAGGAUGAGAAGCUUCGACUAAGGUUCGAUUCGAGCGCAGCGAGAAAGCGUUGCCGCAGGCAACGACCCGAAGGGUGAAGCGCGCAGCGCUGAGUCAUCCUUCCCCCACCACCA